This 253-nucleotide ribosomal RNA is filed under the name uncultured bacterium. RNAcentral's name for it is "partial 16S ribosomal RNA". It matches the Rfam family "Bacterial small subunit ribosomal RNA", at positions 524 to 776 of the family's 1533-position model. The record is from RNAcentral.
UACAGAGGUCUCAAGCGUUGUUCGGAAUUACUGGGCGUAAAGCGUGUGUAGGCGGCCUUAUAAGUCGGAUGUGAAAGCCCAGGGCUCAACCCUGGAAGUGCACUCGAUACUGUAAGGCUCGAGUACUGGAGAGGUUGGUGGAAUUCUCGGUGUAGAGGUGAAAUUCGUAGAUAUCGAGAGGAACACCGGUGGCGAAGGCGGCCAACUGGACAGAUACUGACGCUGAGACACGAAAGCGUGGGGAGCAAACAGG